UGUGGUGGCGAUAGCAAGAAGGAUACACCUGUUCCCAUGCCGAACACAGAAGUUAAGCUUCUUCACGCCAGGGUUAGUCGGGAUCUAAGGCGAGGCCGAGA
RNAcentral lists this ribosomal RNA (101 nucleotides) under Lacticaseibacillus paracasei. The record is from RNAcentral. Lineage: Bacteria; Bacillati; Bacillota; Bacilli; Lactobacillales; Lactobacillaceae.